UGUCCUGCUGCUGCUGCUGCUAAGCAGGACUUUGGGCCAGCGGCCACCCAUCAUGACAUUGAAGCUGGCCCCAGAGAUCCCAGGAUAGAGGCCCCAGGGCAGCAUUGCCUGCUCCACCUCCACAGAGAAACAUCCCUGUGAGCUUGGGGUGUGGAGAAGACGAGGGAGGAGCCCUCCGUGGAUGCCUUGGACUUGGAGGUGUCUGCAUGGAUGAAGGCUCAGAUGGAAUCACCCCAGUUCUGCUGCUGCAGUAGCUGUGUGGCCGUGGGCAGGUUCUUCAAGCUGUGCCUCAGUCUCCCUGUCUGUAAAGGGGGACAUCAUGUACCCUUGGAGCAGGGUUGAGGAACAGAAGACAGAGACACUGGAGGAGGCCACAUAAACACAGAGGCAGAGACUGGGGCCAUGUGGCCGAAAGCCAGGAGCACCGAGGACUGCCACGGCCACCACGGAGAGAGGCCUGGGACAGACGCCGCUGCAGAGCCUCCAGAGAAUGCAGCCAGCCUGCAGCUCGCGUGCAGCCUUCCGGCCCCCUGAACUGUGAGAAGAUGCAGUUCUAUUUUAAGCUGCUCUGUUUGGGCACCUUGUUACAGCAGCCCCAGGAAGCUACUCAGUGGGCGUUUGUGGUCAGCCGCUGAUCAUUCCCAAGGUCACGGCCCCAUCCUAAGCCCUGGGACCUGUGCACGUGACCUGUUUUGGAAAAAGGGCUUUUGCAGAUGUAAUUAGCUUAAGGAUCUUGAGAUGAGAAGAUUAUUCUGGAUUACCGUGGGCCCCAAAUACCAUCUUAAGUGGCUCCGCAAAAGAUCUGGCACACGGAGGAGGCUGUGUGACCAGAGGAGAGACCGGAGUGAUGUGGCCACAAGCCAAGGGCACCGGGAGCCCCCAGAGGCCGGAAGAGGAGAGGAAGGAGCCUCUCUAGGAAUGGCCUGCUGACAGCAGCCUCCAGAAUGGGGAGGGAAUCAGGUCUGUGCUGUCAUACUUAGGAGUGUCUUACGGCAGCCUCAGGAAACAGACGCAGUUUCCCAUUCACAGCCUGGCCUCUGUCCCCAUCUGGGGGUUUCCCCACAGCCUGGCCUCUCCCUGUUGCCCAGGCUGUCCCCAUAGCCAGGUCUCUCCCCAUAUCCUGGCGUGUCCCUGCAGUCUGGCUUCUCCCCACAGCCUGGUGUCUUCCCAUAGCCUGGAGCCUUCUCACAGCCUGGAGUCUCCCCUGCAUCCUGGGGUCUCCCUGCAGUCUGGCUUCUCCCCAUAUCCUGGGGUCUCCCUGCAGCCUGGGGCCUUCUCAUAUGCUGGGGUCUUCCCGCAUCCUGGGGUCUCCCAUAUCCUGGGGUCUCCCUGCAGCCUGGGGCCUUCUCACAGCCUGGGGUCUCCCCACAUCCUGGGAUCUCCCCGUAUCCUGGGGUCUCCCCAUAUCCUGGGGUCUCCCUGCAUCCUGGGGUCUCCCUGCAGUCUACCCAUGGUGCCAGGGCAGCUCUUCCUCCUGACGUGUGGGGGGCCCUGGGGUGCAGAGAAUAAACUCCACCCAUCGGAUGUGAAUUCCAGCAGCCCUGAGGUUGGGUGAGUUUCCUGGAGCAGUGGGCGAGGGGUCAGGGAUGCAGUUUGCUGACUGUCCAGCUCAGCACGCCCAGGGAGCUGGCAGGGUUCCCUGACCCCGGGCAGCAGGUGGAGGCUGAGACAAAGGCCAAGCCAGCUGGAGGCUUUAGGGAGACGCACUGGGUCCACUCCACAGGCAGCAGGACCCCAGGCGCACUGUGGGCAUUUGAGGAGUGGGUGUCAGGGUGACCAGAAGGAGCCAGGGUGGAGGUCGCAGGGUGUCAUCUUGGUGGGCAGAGCCUCGGGGCCCUGGGGUGGAGGGAGUGAGGCUGGAGAGCCUGGCUGGCUGUGCCGGACGCCUAACACGGUCCCGGAGAUGGCACUUCUCGCACGGACGAGGGUGGGCGACGCGGGAACAGACUGCCCGUAAUCGGGUUCCAGGUCCAAUAAAGGUAAACCUCGAGGCGGAAAGGACCUAGACGCAGGUGAACACGGUCCUCCGUGUGUGAGUGCAUGUGUGUGUUGUAUGUGUAAGCGUGUGGCCAUGUGUGUGGUGCUGGAGCCCAAAGCCUGUCCACGGCAGCCCAUUGGUGGGUCCGGCCCUGCCUGUGGAUUCAGCUCUCCACUGCAAAGCAAUAUGCAGUGUGUGAAACGGCAACACAGAUCGUGGCACCACCAUGAGCCUCACUGUUAGAUUUGGAUUGGAAUCCCUCCCUCUCUCCCGCUUUAAACUGUGGGUCCUUGGGAAAGUUACCUGACAUUUCUGAUUUUCACAUUCUUACCUGUAAACCCUCCCAGAGUUGAAAUGAGCCGUGUGGGAAUGGGGGUGGGGAUGGGGAGGCGCGCAGUCACCCUCGCCUUCCUUUUCUUUCUCUCGGUAAUUGUGUUCUUCUAUGUCAAAGGAAAAGAAUAAAACUGGAAAAUUAUUUGGGGGAAAAAGAAAAAGACACACAUGCAAGUGCCACAGGAACCUGCUGGGGGAGAGAUGCUCUGUGGCCUUCGAAGUGUUUCAUAACGUCUCUGCAGCAGCCACAUUCCCCAUGCUCAGCAGCGGCUCACAGCCUGGAUGGCAGUGCGGUGUAGACAUUUGAGCUGUGGGCAGGACUCUUCCCGGUCCUCAUGGCUGAGCACACAGUGCCGGGCCAGGUGGUGCACACUGGGGGACCAUGGGCCGGGCUGGUCCUGGCUCUGCACUGUCCCUGUGACCCUCGGGAUGUUCCUCAGCAUCUUUUGGCGAUGGUUCCUUUCCUGUAGGAUGCGAGGCCGACAGCAUCUGCUGCUAGGAGUUGUGAGGACACGUGAGUUCAUUUCAGUUGGGUGCAGCGCUGGCCUAGUAAUCUCACUGACCCUUGGUCGCUCAGCCAGUGACUGUGCCCACCUGCCACCAUCAUAAGAUGGCGGACUUGGGGGUCAGGAGAGCCCUUCCAGGACUGCAGAAGCUGGUCCUUGGGGGUCUCGCAGCAGAUCCUGGGGGCGUUCCCAGUAUGGGUGCAAUGUACAUGGGGGGCUCAGGACGGGAGGCCCAUGCCAGCCCCUGGGCCUCCAGAGCUGGCAGAAGGCACAGCCCUGCAUGGCCAAGGGCGCUGGGCUGCGUGGAGAAUGUGCGGGUUCUGUUGUUUUGCCAGCUUUAGCAGUUUACCCAACCUAACAAAAAAAAAGGAUAUGCAACUGGGACAGCAUGUGGCCCACGAAGCCUCAAAUAUUGCCUCUGGCCCUUCACAGAACACGUGUUCUAGAAAGGAAAUCCUAUGCUCGUGGGCUAGGGGCUUGCUGGGUGGGGAGAGGGGUUCAAAACGUGGUUUGUCACUUCCUAUGAGGGUGAUCCGACAGGACUUCGUGGAGACGGUGGCGUUUAAGUGGCCUAAGAAGAACUGGAAGGAUUCAGAGGAGCGGAGGGACGUGGCCUGGUGGGCAGAAGUCAUGGCUGGGUGUCGCAGGCUCUGUGCAGCUCUGACAGCUGCAAUGCAGGCAGGCACCGCCCCCCCCCCCCCCAAUGCUUUACGGCCAUCGGGUCUGCAAGUUAUAAACUUGGUUACCCCCAGAACGUUGUUUAAACAGUACUGUGUUCUAGAACAUGCUGAGAUAGCAUUUAUGCAACUGAUGCCAAGGUGUGGAACAGGUUAGUCUGGCUUUUUCCUCAACAAUCCAGGAGGAGGACAGGGAGAAGGCAGCAUUGUUCCUGAGCGGGUGAGGCCAAUUUCAUCCUGAGUGAUAGUGACAGUAAUAACUGAUAAGAAAUGAAAUCACAGCUUUUCACACGCAGAGCCUGACUAAUGGCUGACCCUUCCUCCAUCUCUGGGUGCUCAUGCUGGAGAGCGAUGGGCCCUCCCUCCACUGCCGGGGGGGGACGUGCUGGAGAGUGACAGGCCCUACUUCCAAUCCUCGGUGUUUCUGCUGGAGAGCAAGGGGCCCUCCCUCCUCUCCUUGGUGCACGUGCUGGAGAGUGACGGGCCGGCAGUUCACGCCUCGUGCUCCUGCUGGAGAGCGAUGGGCCCUCCCUCCAAUCCUUGGUGCACAUGCUGGAGAGUGACAGGCCCGCAGUCCACUCCUGGUGCUCCUUCUGGAGUGACAGGCUCUCUCUCCACUCCGUGGUGCACGUGCUGGAGAGUGAC
Molecule: long non-coding RNA, 4139 nt
Filed under: Pan troglodytes (chimpanzee)
Lineage: Eukaryota; Metazoa; Chordata; Mammalia; Primates; Hominidae
Description: long non-coding RNA NONPTRT010323
Source: RNAcentral